GGGACUGCAAAUUGCUGUUCUCAGCUUUUUUCUCUCCUCUCCUCCACCCCCGCCUCCCCCGAAAAAAGGCAGUGCUUUCUCUUAGGCUCUUAAAAAUGAUUCAGAAUUUUAACCAUCUGCUGUACCCGGAGCUCUUCGCUGGUGCUGCACAGCUGAAAUUUUGCAAAGGGAAGAAAUAGCAAAGCUUUCCAAAACAGAAAACUGUUUUGCCUGACUUGGAAAGUAUUUAAUGGUCAGUGGAAAAAAAUGAGGAAGAGGAGGGUGUGGCUGCUGCUGGAAGGCUCUGGCCCGGCAAAGGGUCCCUGGCUUGUAGGGAUGUGGUCCCAAAUCGGCACAAAAUGAAGACUUCUUUUAGAGGAUUGAUUGGUAAGAGAAUGAAGUUGACCAUCAUCAGAUGCUUUUGUAAUACCUUGUCCUUGUCAGAAAGUGGGGCAGACAGGUCCUUUGGCUUUGCACAGAGGUCCAUGUAGUCUUUCCAGCAAACAAUCCCAUCCAACACUCUAUUUUUGUAGGCUUUGGAUAGAAUAAUUCUUUCCUAUUCCUACUGAUGUCCCUUAGCAAGGCAUUAAUUUUCACAUGCUCAGGCUGCAUAUUGAAAAAUAACAUAUUCCUAUAGUUUGAAUUUACUUCUUGUUUAAUUUAGCUGAAUCAUUUCCCCUUCAAGACUGGAAGCAGGAGAGAAAGUUGGACUACAGAUCCAGACUUUCAGGCUGUGUAUCUCUGUUACGUUCCGUGUUGCUCAUGUGCUCACUAACAUAAAUAGUUUGAUCACUUACUUUGUUUUCAUAUAUGGCAGUCUCUUAAAAGUGACAUUGUUGUAGACACCUGCCCUUGCACUCUUGUUACUUCUGUAGCUUUAAUGAGGAAAGGCUCAUUAGCAUGCUCCAGGAAGCUGUUUCCCUGGCAGGCGGAUAUUAGAAGGAUAAUGUUUUCAAUAUAGAACUCUAUUUUCCUGCUUGAUUUACCUGACAUUAUUGCAUAUCCCUG
This 987-nucleotide long non-coding RNA is filed under the name Cyanistes caeruleus (blue tit). Its description in RNAcentral is "lncRNA (ENSCCEG00000005074.1)". Lineage: Eukaryota; Metazoa; Chordata; Aves; Passeriformes; Paridae. The record is from RNAcentral.